Molecule: long non-coding RNA, 1445 nt
Filed under: Helianthus annuus (common sunflower)
Lineage: Eukaryota; Viridiplantae; Streptophyta; Magnoliopsida; Asterales; Asteraceae
Description: hypothetical non coding rna
Source: RNAcentral
AUGUGUAUCCUCCCUUAUUCCAGUCAUGGAAUAGAUAAAAUGAAUCAGAAGCGAAUGGAAGUUGAUGACUUGUCUCGGUCAGAUGUGGAAUUGUGAAAAUCAGUUCGUCGACUGACUCGUACAGUUAGAUAUGGACCGGUGCGGAUUCUAUAGUUACAAUUUAAUAAACAAAGUAGAAUCAAUAUUCAAAUUAUAUAAAGAAAAAUGCAUCCAUGUAGAAGGUGGUGGCCUUGUUUUGUUAGAAUCUUUUUAAGAUUGGGUGGUGAUGACAUAGAAAUAAGAAAGUAGAUGUAUAAGUGUACUAAAUGGGUAAAAUCAAUGUGGACUUGGGAACUUGUAAGCUAAACGGAAAAACAAAGGGUAUCAAGAUAAAAAAGAAGACAAAGAAGUUGGACCUAAAAGUUAAUAAAAAGUAGGAUAUAUGUGCUUUAUUGAAUGAAUUACCAAAGAUGAUGUAACAACAAUGGCUAUUGACAAAGCAAUAAAAGUUGUAAAACCAUAACUAUAUCUUCUUCCAUAGGAAAUUCUCAAAAUCAUAAAUUUAUAAUUUUAAAAUCCAGUUAACUGUAUUAUAUUUUAAUUUUACCCAAAUAAUUUUCGGCAUAUAAUAUACUUUUCAUCACUUAACCUUUUCAUGUGUACAUAUGUAAAUCAAUAUAACUUAUAAUAUCAUUAUAUUAUUUUCUUCCUUAUAACUUCUUACUAAUAACAAGCAUAUUAUAUUUUAAACUUUCUUAACCUAAACCCUAACCGUACAUAUGUAACUAUGUAAGUCAAUACAACUUAUAGUAUCAUUAUAUUAUUUUCUUCCUUAUAACUUCUUAAUAAUAAACAUAUUAGAUUUUCAACAUUCUAACCUAAACCCUAACCAGUAAAUAACUCAUAACCCGUUACACCCAAAGAAUAUAGAGAUUGAUCAACAACUACUUUUUUAUUCUAAAAUAAGGUAUAGAGAUUAAUCAACAACUACUUUUUUAUACUAAAGUAAGGUAAAUGUCACGAGUUUGAAAAUACAUAUUAUAUCAUUUUUUUUUGUAAAAUAAAUAUAAAUUCAUGUAAGUUCUACGAGGAUAUACAAUCAUCUCAUAUAAUAAAUCAAAAAUAAAUUAUAAUACAAUAGUUACUUAUUAACAUAUUUAAUUGACAUAAAGGACAAAACUAGUUAGGAAAAUAUAAUAACAUUUUAUCUCUUAUUAUUGCUUAUGCAUUUUAGACUUUAGUUUACAAAUUAGUUUAUUCUUUAUCACUAAAAGCCACCAUUAUCAUAAGACGGUCUUUCUUAGUGGCGUUAAAUACCAAUCAUAUCCUUACAUCUCCUCUUAACUUUUUCGUUCUUUUGGUUCCAAAAUCUCCUGAAAAUUUUAUUUUUGUUUUAAAAAUUAUCCAAUAGAAAUUGGCACCUUCCUUUUAUUUGCAAUACUAUAUGUAAACACAGAAAUAUUAGA